CCAAGCACGAGUCAGAAGGGAUUAUCUAACCAACACUAUCUGGCUGUUGCAGAGAAUAUCACGCGUCUAAAGUUGGAAAUCUCAACCGUUCAUUCGACUAAAACAACCCUAUAUAUAAUAACUGGUGCGUUUCCCCUAUUUUCAAUUCAGAAGUUCUCUCAUUCCUCUCGUACGUACCACGUCUCAAGAGUUCGGUUUUCCUAUUCGUGACCUGGUUUUGACAUGGAUCAGAUUCCGAUCUACUCGCCAAUCGUGCUUUUCCUACGAAUUGAUUUUCCAAGAUUUGAAGCCCGGUGUCACCGAUCUACCGUUCAGAGGUGUGAUGAUCGUGUUCGUGUUGCUUGUUUCGUGAAGGCUCGAUGAAUAUAGCGCAGAUCGCCAGAACAAAAUUACCAGGUGCAGCGCUUCAUAGUUGCCGUUCCUGUGUGGAGUUCUUCGCAUUCGGAUUUAAAGAAAUUAUAUGAGGAUUCUUGAGGGGAUAGGUUCGGUGUAUGUAGUAGUUUGAAUAUUUGGGGAUGAAGUGGUUAUGGAGAAUUUUGUCAAUCGACCUUUGCCAUGACAGGUGCGCUUGCAUGGCAGGUCAAUACAAAUUAAUAAAGAAAAAUUAUUUGUGGGUUUUGAGGGAGAUCGCACGGGAAUUCCCGGGUUCUCCCUCUGGUGUGGUGGUGUGUGUGUCUGUGUUCCUUUUCCUUCUUUCUCCCUUUCUUUAUAUUUUUCUUUUCCUCUCUCACUCUUUCUUGCGACGGAUACACCACCACUGGACUCGCUUCGUCAUCGAACUAACAAGGUAUCGUCUAAUUUAUCAAUUUAACUUUACCUUUACAAUAACGCCUUUCUUUUUUGGUAACAUAGUCAAUAUACUAAUAAAAACUAACAAAAUCAAUGCAAUUGCAAACAUUGAAACAAGUAACUCGUAUAUGAAAAAUUAAUCACUAUAGUUUAUCUCUCGAAAUGGUGAAUUAGUAAUUGAAGUGAUAUUAUGUUGUUAAUUAUAAUUUUUUGACCGUUUUCUUUUAUUUACUGGGAAUAUCUAACAGCUUGGAUGAUAGAUUCGUAACAACAACAUUGAUCCUCCGGUCGACUUCUGUAAUAACUAAUCAAAAGGCGAAACUACUAGUUAACACUUUAUUGAUAUUUUUUCAUCUGUUAACUUUUAAAAUUUUGCAACGCCAUUACUACGAGUAUCAUUUCCAGUUUGAGUUCUUAUCAUUAAUUGUAACCCACAAUCUGUUCUCCUUGACAUUUAGCAUUUCAUUUUCCCACAAUGCAUAGAUUUUUCUGUAGAUAUACUCGUUCGAUUGAAGUCUUCGCAGCCGGAAGGGUGUGAACAGUGUUUCAUCGUAUCAAAUAUUGCAGUGAUCUUCCUCAGCUUGACUAGAAAGAAUUGCAAGGUUUCAGGUGUUCAAAAGGCUAAAUUCAAGGGAACAUUUCAAAUAUAUGUUCUUAUUCAUCAAUAUUUUGAGGUAGCUUUCUAAAAUUUUAGUGAAUAAAGUCUCAUUGAUGGUUUUCGGUCUCUGGAAUAAUUCUGUUUGGCCUCUGGUUUAUGUUGUUGAUUAUGUUUUAUGGAUGGAAUGGGAUCACCAUAGAUUUUAUCUCUUACAUUUGAAGCUUAGUAAUGAUUUUUUU
Molecule: non-coding RNA, 1626 nt
Organism: Vigna umbellata (rice bean)
Lineage: Eukaryota; Viridiplantae; Streptophyta; Magnoliopsida; Fabales; Fabaceae
Source: RefSeq, a predicted model, not a curated record